AAUGAUAGAUGGCAUACGCAGAAAACGCAAUUACGGAACGAUAUACAAAAAAAGGGGUUCAAAGUGCUGCAGAAUGGAGGACGGAUUUAUCAGGACUCCAGCUUUGUUAUGAUUGCUCAGUUGAUAUCCAUCACAAUAAUAAUCGCUCCUGCACUUUUGAACUCUCAUUAGUAAAUGAGUUGCCAGAGUGCGUCUUGUGUGAAAUGGCAUCCUGAUGCUGACAUGUGAGACGAAGGAUCUUGACCGCGACGAGCGUGUCUCAUGUCGAGGACUCGGUUACUAAACCAGCCCAACUCCGUUAUUAAUGGAUGACCGUCUGAUUAAAAACGCAAAUGGCAGAUGCUCUGACUCACCGUCUCCAUGGCUACUGAUAAUGCCAACUUGGUCAAAAUUAACGUUGCCGAUGGCCCGUAUCAUGUAUCAUUCGAUGAGGGGUGUCAGUCGUGCCAGAAGAGUGGCCCGGUUACACCCGAUACCCAUCCUGGCAGGUGGGGAGGGCUCUAAUCGUCAUAUGGACCGACAGGUAGCUGCAACGAAAUGACUAUUUUAAAAAUUCAAGAGCUUCACUCAGCUUCCCUCAUACAGGUGAUCCGCGGCUCGUGUUUCGACUUUUCCAGAAGUUAAUCAGGUGAAUGAAGAGUGGACGGGAGAGGGGACGACUCAGCCAGGGCUGACUGGUCAACAAAGAGCCCUUGGGAUAGAUUUCACUCUGGCUAUUCGGUUUGAAUAGAUGUAACCAGAGCCGCCAGACUAACACCACUGGCAUAAUUUAAAAAUAUAGAGCCGUUUUUUUCCACUGAGGUGUCAGUAUAGGCUUCAACUAUCAACAGCAGGUAAGUGGACUCGGGGGUUGAGGGUAAC
This is a long non-coding RNA of Onychostoma macrolepis, 861 nucleotides long. RefSeq lists it as uncharacterized. NCBI's taxonomy places the organism in Eukaryota, Metazoa, Chordata, Actinopteri, Cypriniformes, Cyprinidae. The transcript has 3 exons. The record is from RefSeq and is a predicted model, not a curated record.